UCGAGCGACAGACAAGGAGCUUGCUCCUUUGACGUUAGCGGCGGACCGGUGAGUAACACGUGGGUAACCUACCUAUAAGACUGGGAUACCUUGGGGAAACCGGAGCUAAUACCGGAUAAUAUUUCGAACCGCAUGGUUCGAUAGUGAAAGAUGGUUUUGCU
This 161-nucleotide ribosomal RNA is filed under the name Staphylococcus haemolyticus. RNAcentral's name for it is "partial 16S ribosomal RNA". It matches the Rfam family "Bacterial small subunit ribosomal RNA", at positions 62 to 219 of the family's 1533-position model. Lineage: Bacteria; Bacillati; Bacillota; Bacilli; Caryophanales; Staphylococcaceae. The record is from RNAcentral.